RNAcentral lists this ribosomal RNA (1579 nucleotides) under Escherichia coli. RNAcentral's name for it is "partial 23S ribosomal RNA". It matches the Rfam family "Bacterial large subunit ribosomal RNA", at positions 593 to 2157 of the family's 2925-position model. Lineage: Bacteria; Pseudomonadati; Pseudomonadota; Gammaproteobacteria; Enterobacterales; Enterobacteriaceae. The record is from RNAcentral.
GUGACUGCGUACCUUUUGUAUAAUGGGUCAGCGACUUAUAUUCUGUAGCAAGGUUAACCGAAUAGGGGAGCCGAAGGGAAACCGAGUCUUAACUGGGCGUUAAGUUGCAGGGUAUAGACCCGAAACCCGGUGAUCUAGCCAUGGGCAGGUUGAAGGUUGGGUAACACUAACUGGAGGACCGAACCGACUAAUGUUGAAAAAUUAGCGGAUGACUUGUGGCUGGGGGUGAAAGGCCAAUCAAACCGGGAGAUAGCUGGUUCUCCCCGAAAGCUAUUUAGGUAGCGCCUCGUGAACUCAUCUCCGGGGGUAGAGCACUGUUUCGGCAAGGGGGUCAUCCCGACUUACCAACCCGAUGCAAACUGCGAAUACCGGAGAAUGUUAUCACGGGAGACACACGGCGGGUGCUAACGUCCGUCGUGAAGAGGGAAACAACCCAGACCGCCAGCUAAGGUCCCAAAGUCAUGGUUAAGUGGGAAACGAUGUGGGAAGGCCCAGACAGCCAGGAUGUUGGCUUAGAAGCAGCCAUCAUUUAAAGAAAGCGUAAUAGCUCACUGGUCGAGUCGGCCUGCGCGGAAGAUGUAACGGGGCUAAACCAUGCACCGAAGCUGCGGCAGCGACGCUUAUGCGUUGUUGGGUAGGGGAGCGUUCUGUAAGCCUGUGAAGGUGUGCUGUGAGGCAUGCUGGAGGUAUCAGAAGUGCGAAUGCUGACAUAAGUAACGAUAAAGCGGGUGAAAAGCCCGCUCGCCGGAAGACCAAGGGUUCCUGUCCAACGUUAAUCGGGGCAGGGUGAGUCGACCCCUAAGGCGAGGCCGAAAGGCGUAGUCGAUGGGAAACAGGUUAAUAUUCCUGUACUUGGUGUUACUGCGAAGGGGGGACGGAGAAGGCUAUGUUGGCCGGGCGACGGUUGUCCCGGUUUAAGCGUGUAGGCUGGUUUUCCAGGCAAAUCCGGAAAAUCAAGGCUGAGGCGUGAUGACGAGGCACUACGGUGCUGAAGCAACAAAUGCCCUGCUUCCAGGAAAAGCCUCUAAGCAUCAGGUAACAUCAAAUCGUACCCCAAACCGACACAGGUGGUCAGGUAGAGAAUACCAAGGCGCUUGAGAGAACUCGGGUGAAGGAACUAGGCAAAAUGGUGCCGUAACUUCGGGAGAAGGCACGCUGAUAUGUAGGUGAAGCGACUUGCUCGUGGAGCUGAAAUCAGUCGAAGAUACCAGCUGGCUGCAACUGUUUAUUAAAAACACAGCACUGUGCAAACACGAAAGUGGACGUAUACGGUGUGACGCCUGCCCGGUGCCGGAAGGUUAAUUGAUGGGGUUAGCGCAAGCGAAGCUCUUGAUCGAAGCCCCGGUAAACGGCGGCCGUAACUAUAACGGUCCUAAGGUAGCGAAAUUCCUUGUCGGGUAAGUUCCGACCUGCACGAAUGGCGUAAUGAUGGCCAGGCUGUCUCCACCCGAGACUCAGUGAAAUUGAACUCGCUGUGAAGAUGCAGUGUACCCGCGGCAAGACGGAAAGACCCCGUGAACCUUUACUAUAGCUUGACACUGAACAUUGAGCCUUGAUGUGUAGGAUAGGUGGGAGGCUU